AGGCCCUGCCUGGUCUUUUCCACGGGGUGCCAUCAGCCCCUUUUCUGGAAGAGAUGAGUGUCCCUGUCACACGCUCCUGCUGCCCCGCUCUGCAUUCCGGCGCUGACAGCAAGGCUGCAGAUACCUGUCCCAGAAGGAGAGGGAAAGGGCUCAGCACACCCAUCUUACAUUUGGAGAACUGCCACCUACUUCCACCCCACAGGGCUCAGCGAGCUGCUUCAGAGCCAGGCAAGGGCGUGAGCUGUGGAGCCAGCUCCUGGCACUUCCUGUAUGAUCUUGAACAAGCCGCAUCGCCUCCCUUUGCCUCAGUUUACUCAUCUCUAAAAUGAAGAUAUUGGGCCAGUCAACCAAAGGCUGGAGGAAGCUGGCCUUGCUGAAGUGUGGUUUCUGAAAGAAGGCUGUUCUCUCCUUUCCUAUGGAAGAAGCCUCAGGACAGGUGCACCUUUGUAACCACCUGGGGAUGUAGGCGCCGGUCCUCUGAGUCCAGAGCCGUUUCUUCCUCCCGAAGCCGGCUUCGUGUUCCAGAGCGGCUGGAGCCACCGAAGCUGGGACUCAGGGGCAGAGGCAUUGCCUUCUCAUCUCCAUGGCCUGCAGACUCUCGUGUCUGGGAGAAGGAGCAGCAACCUGUAACUACAGAACUGCCGUCACGGUCCACAUCGGUACCGCGUGGCUGCUCCCAGCCCUGGGUCCCUCCAGCACUCAUUAGUAGCUGCACCAGAGCUGGAUGGGGAAGGAAGAGGGAUGGGAUUCACUGGAGUCCUCGUUAGGAGGAAUUCAGGCCAAAGAUUUGGAGAAGAGGAAGCUGGUCCUACUGGGCACGGCAAGGAGUUCAGUGUGUGCGGAUCUCAAAGAACCUCCCUCCCAGCACCACUGAGGUGCUGAGGAUGCCCCUGAAACGGCCUCAAACUCGACUUGGACUAUGGGUUCCAUCCGUAGAGUUGGCCUCACUGACAGCAUUACAGGAAGGCUUCGAGGCAGCUCCCUGUGACCAUGUGGCGAUCGGACCAUCCCUGGCAUCCCACUUUGUGGGUGAGGAGACUGCUUCCUAACCAUGCUGGCACAAGGAAGAGGGGCACCUGUGUGAUUUGGGCGUCUUCUCCAGCUGCUGCCUUGGAGCCCCCCACCUGGCUCAGGGCCCUUUGGAUGGUCCAGAACCACAUCUCCCUGGGGCUGCUCUUGCAGCUGAGGAACCUGGAGGUCUAGCCCAUCCUGACCUUGGCUCUGCCCUGUGCUCCACGCCCAGCUGACCCAUCUCUUUCCAUGACACUCCCUUGACGGCCUCCCCCACGGAGCACAUUUCUGAGUGGAGCUGCCUGGAGCUACCACUGAGAUCAAUCUCUUGGGAUGCCGAAACGCAGACACCAUCCUGCCUCCCAGAUCUGAUUGUUUUGACAGCUUCACCAAAUUACAAAGCAAAGGCCCUAUUUGGUGAUGAGAAAAGCAAUAUUGUGGCAGGGGCGGCUCAUUUCUUUGAAAAUCAGCAGUAAGUGAAUUUGCAUCCACUUAGUAGUAAAUACAUCUGGUUGUCCCCCUCUCC
This 1537-nucleotide long non-coding RNA is filed under the name Macaca mulatta (Rhesus monkey). RNAcentral describes it as "lncRNA (ENSMMUG00000064463.1)". Lineage: Eukaryota; Metazoa; Chordata; Mammalia; Primates; Cercopithecidae. The record is from RNAcentral.